This 529-nucleotide long non-coding RNA is filed under the name Rattus norvegicus (Norway rat). RNAcentral describes it as "long non-coding RNA NONRATT020641". The record is from RNAcentral. Lineage: Eukaryota; Metazoa; Chordata; Mammalia; Rodentia; Muridae.
AGUUGUGGUUUUCCUGUUGACUGAUGUGCUGACCCCAGCAAGUGGCACCAAAGUGAAGGCUCAACUAUGGGGAAGGCAGAGAAGGACACCUCCUGGAAUGCUCAGGAAAAGUGAAAGUGUUGGCAGUGACAACUCUCAGAGUGAAGACAACAGUCAUGGUCUGCUGAGUCUCAUGAAACCAAAGAUCCCCACACAGCAGAGAGAGCUGUUGAGUGCAGUCGUAGGGCAAUGAGUAUGCUGUACCUUCAUACUUGGGAAAGCACCAUUGGACCAAAAAAAAAAAAAAAAAAAAAAGAAGAGCACAGCCUUUGUCUUUUGACUCUGCUAGCAUUGCAAAUGAUAUUCAUAAAAUGUUACAGGCUGUUUUUCCUUCAUGGUCCUUAUUUACAUCUCUUAUUGGGCACAGCGGAGCUUGGCUUUAUAUCUUUUUUACGGCCAUGUCUACUGCCUGUUAUUUUGAGAGGAAUCAUCUGAGCUUUUGAAGAUGUCAAAGCAGAGUUAAAUAAAUUCAUGCUCCAAUGUCUUCCCU